AUUUCUAAUGCUGGACAAACACAUUUUUCACUACACUCAUCUACAGAGAACUAAACAAACAACUGUGCGUACCUGUGAAUUGUCACUAUGCAUUUUUCUUACCCUACAGAUGGCAAUAUUGAUAAUUAACAAUAAUGUUGCCAACUUUUGCGAGGAAUAUGUUUUAUGGAGGGUGUUUGGUUUUCAUUUGACUGCCCCUUAUAUUUUUAAUUUCAAAAUUUUUUACAUAAAUUAAUGUACAGUCAAUUUCAAAAAGGUGUUCACCUAGGUGGAAGAUGUUCAGCUUCCUUACAAUACUUACAAACCAAUGAGAAUAACUGGUUCAG
This 326-nucleotide long non-coding RNA is filed under the name Androctonus crassicauda. The record is from RNAcentral. Lineage: Eukaryota; Metazoa; Arthropoda; Arachnida; Scorpiones; Buthidae.